Molecule: ribosomal RNA, 250 nt
Filed under: uncultured bacterium
Lineage: Bacteria
Description: partial 16S ribosomal RNA
Rfam family: Bacterial small subunit ribosomal RNA
Source: RNAcentral
ACGCGCGAAACCUUACCUGGGCUUGACAUGCACUGGAUGCGGCCAGAGAUGGUUGUUCCCUUUGUGGCUGGUGUGCAGGUGGUGCAUGGUUGUCGUCAGCUCGUGUCGUGAGAUGUUGGGUUAAGUCCCGCAACGAGCGCAACCCUUGUCUCGUGUUGCCAGCAUUUGGUUGGGGACUCGCGGGAGACUGCCGGGUUAACUCGGAGGAAGGUGGGGAUGACGUCAAAUCAUCAUGCCCCUUAUGUCCAGG